ACACUCCUACGGGAGGCAGCAGUGGGGAAUCUUGCGCAAUGGGCGAAAGCCUGACGCAGCCAUGCCGCGUGAAUGAUGAAGGUCUUAGGAUUGUAAAAUUCUUUCACCGGGGACGAUAAUGACGGUACCCGGAGAAGAAGCCCCGGCUAACUUCGUGCCAGCAGCCGCGGUAAUACGAAGGGGGCUAGCGUUGCUCGGAAUUACUGGGCGUAAAGGGAGCGUAGGCGGACAUUUAAGUCAGGGGUGAAAUCCCGGGGCUCAACCUCGGAAUUGCCUUUGAUACUGGGUGUCUUGAGUAUGAGAGAGGUGUGUGGAACUCCGAGUGUAGAGGUGAAAUUCGUAGAUAUUCGGAAGAACACCAGUGGCGAAGGCGACACACUGGCUCAUUACUGACGCUGAGGCUCGAAAGCGUGGGGAGCAAACAGGAUUAGAAACCCGUGUAGUCCCA
RNAcentral lists this ribosomal RNA (448 nucleotides) under uncultured organism. RNAcentral describes it as "partial 16S ribosomal RNA". It matches the Rfam family "Bacterial small subunit ribosomal RNA", at positions 333 to 797 of the family's 1533-position model. The record is from RNAcentral.